Molecule: ribosomal RNA, 442 nt
Filed under: uncultured bacterium
Lineage: Bacteria
Description: bacterial SSU rRNA
Rfam family: Bacterial small subunit ribosomal RNA
Source: RNAcentral
CCUACGGGGGGCUGCAGUCGAGAAUCUUCCUCAAUGGGCGAAAGCCUGAAGGAGCGACGCCGCGUGUAUGAAGAAGCCUUUCGGGGUGUAAAGUACUUUUAUUAGGGAUGAAUCAAUGACAGUACCUAAUGAAUAAGGGGCUGCUAACCUCGUGCCAGCAGCAGCGGUAAUACGAGGGCCCCAAGCAUUAUCCGGAUUUAUUGGGCGUAAAGCGUCUGUAGACGGUUUGUCGCAUCUCCUGUUAAAUCCUCUGGCUCAACCAGGGGGCUGCGGGAGAGAUGGGCAAACUAGAGACUGGAAGAGGCAAUCGGAAUUGCUGGUGUAGGGGUUAAAUCCGUUAAUAUCAGCAGGAACACUCAAUGCGAAAGCAAAUUGCUGGGACAGUUCUGACGUUCAGAGACGAAAGCGUGGGGAGCAAACGGGCUUAGAUACCCCAGUAGUC